This 310-nucleotide long non-coding RNA is filed under the name Setaria viridis. RNAcentral describes it as "long non-coding RNA (SVIR_LNC002258)". Lineage: Eukaryota; Viridiplantae; Streptophyta; Magnoliopsida; Poales; Poaceae. The record is from RNAcentral.
GACCAAACAUUACACUAGCAUUAAAGAAAAGGAAUCUAUAAAGGAAAAGAAAAUAGGUACCAUGUUUGCUUUAAGUUGACAGACAUGUCAUUCUGGUAUACUAAAAGCAAGAAAACUACUAUGAGAUCAUGAAGUAAGAACUUUGCAUAAUCCAUUGAACUAGACUUUCUGAAACUAAAUAAAAAAAUAAAGUUAUUCACUCAAAUCACACCAGAUGCACUAAGCCACAGGACAAGUCUCAAUGUAGGGAUUCAAUUUACUCUACAAAAAAAAAGACAAUUUAAAUACCUUGCCUGUUCCAGAUUUCUCC